GACGUAGGAGGCGAGCGUUGUCCGGAUUCAUUGGGCGUAAAGAGCACGCAGGCGGUUUGGCAAGUCGGAUGUGAAAACCCGAAGCUCAACUUCGGGCCUGCAUCCGAAACUGCCCGACUAGAGGUAGGUAGGGGGGAUCGGAAUUCCUGGUGUAGCGGUGAAAUGCGCAGAUAUCAGGAGGAACACCGGUGGCGAAGGCGGAUCUCUGGGCCUUACCUGACGCUCAGGUGCGAAAGCUAGGGGAGCGAACAGG
RNAcentral lists this ribosomal RNA (253 nucleotides) under uncultured bacterium. RNAcentral's name for it is "partial 16S ribosomal RNA". It matches the Rfam family "Bacterial small subunit ribosomal RNA", at positions 524 to 776 of the family's 1533-position model. The record is from RNAcentral.